AAAGCUCUUUUGAGUGCAGCCGUUGUCAUUGGUUACAAUACAAUAUUAAGUCAGUCACACCUAGAAGCUUCAGGAUACACCACGAAAGACUGAAAUGGAAAGAUGCAGAACUUUCUAAGAAUGUGUGUGGGACCACAAGUCUUCAAAGCCUGCGAUCUGAGGUCCAAGAGCUAAAAGCAGUCGCAAACUUCAGCACCUGGGUGAAAAAUUACCGCUUAACUUGCUACCGUUUCCUCUUCAGUGGGAGAAGAGCUGGAAGAUCUAUUACCUUAAUGAUUACUUAAUGGGAGAAGACUGCUCAAGUUCUGGGACACUGUUCACAGAAUUAUCUACGAUGCUUGAAGCCUAACCCAGACUCCCAAGAAGAACUGACAUGUAUUUCCACUGAUAGUUGCCUCCUCUGAGUUUCAGCUGGAUUUGUUGCUUAAUUUCCUCUGGAGCCUUGAAAACUCCCAGCCAUAUAAUUUUCGACAGGAUCACUCUGAGGUAGAUCAUCUCUCCUCCCUACUCCAUCUCUCUAGGAAAUCUCCCCUCUACUCUUUCUAGUGACAAGUUCUGCCUGCAUACCAGGGUGCCUAAAAAAAUAAACACAACGCAGCAACUGCAGCUGUUUUACAUAGGAUGGACUGUAUCUUCCUCGCACAACCAUGCAGUGAGGUGGAGGAGGGAGGAUAUGAGGCCCUCUUCAUAGCCCAUGCUCACAGUGCGGGAGAGCCAAUUAAGGUCCCAGAGAGUGGGUAAAGAUGUGUUACUAAUCACCUUGGGCCACUAUGAGCCUAAGUCAGAAGUUAUUAUUGUAUGGUUUAAAACUAGUGCCUGAAGGUUUUAGAUCAGAACUUCAAAAAACCUGGAUGACAAGUUUUCAUCAUUUUUAUUAUUUUACAGAAAGAAGUAGGUGACCUUAUUUUGGCUCCUAAAAGUUUUCACAAGUUACAGUACAUUGUGUAAAAAAGCUUUCCCCUGUUCUGCACUGGUGACGGCAUCUGUUUGCUGAACAUGGAUCUACUUGGUGCUAGGCUGUGUUGUGGUUGAAUUGCACAGACAGUUUUAUGUCUCUGUCCUUUAAAACACAUCAUUUUUAAGAAGUAGCCCACAGUAUUUUUUUUGGCUGGAGCUUGCCAGACUGUCUUGAGAUUUUAGUCUUGCCAGAUAUUGCUAUCAUGAUCAGUGAAAUUUUUCAUUACACUUAUUCCUCUCUGUAAAUAAAGGAAGCUCAGGGCCUUCACAUUCCUAAAGACUGAAUGUUAUGCAGGAUCUGUGCUGAAAAAUCUACGCUGGAUUUAUAUGUCAUAUGGACAUUUUUAUGUUGUCCCAUAUCCACAUUUAAACCUUUGUGCUAUUUAGUGCUGUUCUGUGCCAUUCUCCAGACCACAGAUUAUAGUAUUUCCUUGAUGUUCUCCUGUCAAGAGAUACCCUCCCUGCCAAAUUUUUGCUUGCUGAUUAGACCUUUUUCCUCUAGAUCCCUGUUUCUUCCACAUGCUGGUUCUUUGAGCCAAAUUCAUCUGUAGACGAGUAAAGGAAAGGAAAAACGCUGCACAGCAGUGCUGCAACUGUUCCCCUACAAGGUCCUAAGAUGAUUAAAGCUAAUGGGAGGGCACUCUCUCUCCCUCUAUCAUUACCCCAGUGAAAGCGAAUGCUCUCAAGUUUCCCUUUUCCAUUACCAUAGCAUUUGUCAGAGGCUGAGGUUUGGCCAGGAGCUGGCAUCUCAGGUAUGGUUGAGCUCUGAGGCUUUUGAGGGAGCCAGCAAAAAAAAGUAAUGGAGCAACUAAGAAGAAGCUACUAGAGGCAUUGCUCUGAAGCAUACACUGUGAAACUCAAAGAAAUGGGGACACAAACAGGUAAACUCUGUGACCAGACUCUUAGUAAAGUUGCCAAUGGACAACUGUCCUUUAAAACCAGGCCAAGCCCCUUAUAACCCUUCAUUCAUUAUUCUUCCCAUGCUUUGUGAGUGUUCAGGUCAGCCUUACUUAUAAAAAUAAAUGAAUUCAACUGUGUCUUUGAUGCCACAUAUUCAGGAAGGACAGAAAAAGUGUCGUAAAAAUCCUCUUGCUAACUAAUAACAAAACUCAGAAUGACUGAACCUCAACAGCCAGCCCAGAUCAGGAGCUGGGGUAAGAGAUGAAUCUGACAGAAAGCUGCAAAUAAGCUACUGGAACUGCCUUCAGUGGGAGUUUGGCCCAAGGAAGAGCUUCUGGAUUCGGUCCGAGCAAUUUAAAUAAUACAAGGCAGCUAAGUCAGUUUCUCAACUUUUAGCUAGACAAUCUCUUCACAUUUAACCCAACUUCACCAAAGAGACUUUCUCAGGCUAUUGAAAGGCCUGGUAUUGUGAAAUGGGACAUCAAAACAACACUUUGGGGAUGUACUCUCAUCAAAAUGAUCAGCGAUCGUGAUUCUAAUUAGGAAAUCUCAAACAGACACUAGAAGUGUCCACCCUUGUUUAUACAAGACCUUGAGCCGCCUGCCUGUGUAGUUGGUACGGCUUUGAACAGGUUAAACUGAGCAGUAUCAAAGUAUCUUCAAUUUUUCUGUGAUUUCAUGAAUCUGGUGUUACAAGAAGGCUCUAGGACAAUACUAAUCAUCCUUUAAAUGUUGUUCAUGAAUUUUAAGUGAUGACUACACCAUUUCAGAGCCUGUUUCAGUAUUCAGUACUUCUGUGACUUCAGGAAUUUCUGGAGAAUCACAGUAUGAUGAUGCAGGGUACAUGAUGUACCAGCUCAAACUUCAGUGGGAUGAAAGAAUAGGCCAAGUGUGUAAGAUACUAAAUACUAGUUUCACAUAAGUAUUUUUGGUUUAACUAACACGGCCACAUAUAAAGCAUGUGAUUUAAAGAAUGUGGUCAAAUUUAAAUAGGCCUUUCUGAGGCUUGCCUCAGAAAGAGAGGACAUUGUAUCUUCUCAUAUAUUUUCUCACCCUAAGACACCCCUGAGCAAGUGCCCUGAGCUUAUAAAUAUCCCUCAAUAUUUUUGCAUGUGUGAUUGCCUAAUUUCAGUUGCAGUGACAAUGUGCUGCAUGUUCAGUCUGCAGGAUCAAAGGCUGGACAAUCAUGAGUUAUGUGACAAAUGAGAAAGUGUCAAAACUGUUUACACGACUUCAGGCUGAACUUGAUAAGUUAUUUAGAUAUGUAAACAUGCAGAGGAGGCCAAAGAUAAUUUUGAAAGCCCCUCUAUUGGUUGGGAAUGAGAACACAAGUUUUUAAAGGUCCAAGUCCGCAAAAGAAUGUUGACAUGUAAAGUGAAAUUUAGGCACCUAAGUUCAAAACUUACAGUCUCAUCAUCUGCUACCUGUUUGAAGAAGCUCCAAGAGAAUUUUGUUAAAGGGGACAAAGUGAAUCAGCUCAGGAAAAAAACAUAUUUCCUUCCGAAAAGAGUGAAUGCUGAAUUCUUUUGGUUACUUCAUAAAGGAAGAACUAUGUCAUCAAAUUUGCCUUAGGACCAGUAUGAAAGUAUAAGCAGUCAGCUAGAAGAGACGAGGCUUCAGUUCCUAACUCCAGGAUUAUUUCUGUUUCUUUUAACAGAUUAAAAUCAUAAUGCCCACCCCUUGGCUUUUGGCUGUGUGAGCCAAGGGGAGGCUCUUCUGCCUGUGUGAUGAGCAGGACACAUGCUGUCAAUUUUCCUAUAUCACUGUACUGCUGUUGUGCCUGGGGCAUGAUGGGGCUUUGCAUCCAAGCCCUAAAUCAGAGUCCAGCUCAUAUGCAAUAGACCUGUCUCUUCCCAGAAGUAUUGCUCUUUGACAUGCAUGCAAUAAAUCAGCAGUCAGCUUUCAGGGUUCAUUUAUGAGAAUGUUGACAAGCAGAAUUUUAUUGGGUUUACAGUAAAUUAUUUAUUGGUUUUCUGUUUCGUUCAC
Molecule: long non-coding RNA, 3843 nt
Organism: Strigops habroptila (Kakapo)
Lineage: Eukaryota; Metazoa; Chordata; Aves; Psittaciformes; Psittacidae
Exons: 4
Source: RefSeq, a predicted model, not a curated record